AUUUAAAUAGUUUAAUUAAAGAAUAAUAAUUUGUGGCAUUAUAGGUAUAUUUAUAUUUUAAAUC
RNAcentral lists this transfer RNA (64 nucleotides) under Paraplea frontalis. RNAcentral describes it as "tRNA-His". The record is from RNAcentral. Lineage: Eukaryota; Metazoa; Arthropoda; Insecta; Hemiptera; Pleidae.